GUUAGGUAAAUGUUCCAUGAUAAUGGGUUAGGUAAAUGUUUCAUGAUAAUAGGUUAGGUAAAUGUUCCAUGAUAAUGGGUUAGGUAAAUGUUUCAUGAUAAUGGGUUAGGUAAAUGUUUCAUGAUAAGAAUAUCAUGUCUUUUGUAUUAAAGAAUUAAAUGGAUGAAAUAUGAAGUUUUAUUAAAAGAAAAAGGGGUGAAAAGAACAAAGUUUUGUCCAUCUUUGUUCAUCAUAGCUGAAAGUUAGAGAAGAGAAAAGAGAGGAGAAAGCUCUUGAGUAUUUGGUCAUUAGGAGGAGGAAAAUUGAAGGAAAUCCCCAACCAUAGUGGGCUUGGAGCUGUGAGGGAAUUCGGAGUGGCCACCCGUUCUGAAAGUUUGAUUUUCUUCUGGUGAGCCUUAGAUCGAUGGACUUGGAGCUGGGCGGGAUUCAGAGUGGCCACGAAGAUUAAGUUUUGUUUCUUUAAAAUAAGUUUCGCAUUUAUUAUUUUGAUUAUUUUUAUUCUGGUUAAAGUUGUAAUAAGGCCGCUCUUUUGAUUAUUUUUAAUAUUUUGGGUUAUUAAAUUGGUUAGCUCUAGGGCGCGUUUUAUAAAA
Molecule: long non-coding RNA, 590 nt
Organism: Gossypium arboreum
Lineage: Eukaryota; Viridiplantae; Streptophyta; Magnoliopsida; Malvales; Malvaceae
Exons: 3
Source: RefSeq, a predicted model, not a curated record